CAAAAAGAGCCUUUAGAUGGUGUCAGGAGGGGAAAUGCACGGUGCAGUCUUGCAAGUGGGAUGCUGUCAUCCCAUCUAGACAGAGAAACAUGCUAGUUCUUUCUUAUCCCCGAGGUCUAGGAAAGAAGAGAGUCGUGCUGCAGUAUCAUACAGUGCACAGCUGCAUCUCUGCCAUGCAUGUCUUAGUCCCCCAGUUUCAGUAAUCGAUGGCCAUGUAGGAGAGAACCCACGUCAUUCCACGUGUCUCAGGGGCAGAGCUGGCUCAGUGGACUCCUGCCCAUGGCUGCCAGCCGUGCCCCAUACCAGUGCACUCAGGAGCCGUGUUCAUGCAGAGGUGAGAGUUCAGGGGACACUCAGCCCAUCCGUUUGUCUCAACAGGCCAUGUGUCCGGCUCCGUGGAAGGGACUGCAACUGCUGGUGAGGCUUUCCCCUUCUUCCUGCUGUCCCCAUGCAUUCCAGUCUUCCCCUCCACUCUCCUUUGUCCCCAUCCUGUCACUACGUCCCCAACACACCCCAAUUUUGUCCACAUCUCCCCCCUCGCACUCCUCUGCACUCCAUCAACCCCAAGCUCUCUGUCCCCAUCCCUGCACUCUGUCCCCAGUCCCCAACAACCAGCAGGCCUCCACAGUCACUGCGGUGGUAUUGGUGACUGUCACCCUCCUCCUUUCUGCAGCGACCUUCUGGACCAUCAAGAAAGGUGAGGGCUUGUGGGAAGCGGGAGGGAUCCAUGAGGCUGUCACAGCUCUGAUGUGGGACACUUCUUCUUGCAGGUCCCUGCAGGGAGAGAUGCCGAAGAUGCCAGCAUUGUCCACUUUCAAAGAGACAAGAAAAAUGGGAAAUCAUGAGAUACGUUUUCUAGCCACAGAUCACACUCUCCUCUCUGACUUCUGCAAACACCUCCCCUUGAUGUGCAGAACUGCAGCCCCUUGUUGCUGCUGCCAAAAUUGCAUGGAUCCUUCUCAGAAGCUCCAGAAAUGGUUCUAUUUGAGGAGCUGGAAGAACAUUUCUGAAUGUUUUAAAGAAAGCAAAAGGAGAAAAUCUCACCAACAAUUCUGA
This 1056-nucleotide long non-coding RNA is filed under the name Chrysolophus pictus (golden pheasant). Its description in RNAcentral is "lncRNA (ENSCPIG00010010704.1)". Lineage: Eukaryota; Metazoa; Chordata; Aves; Galliformes; Phasianidae. The record is from RNAcentral.